CCCUUAGAUGUUCUGGGCCGCACGCGCGCUACACUGACGAAUGCAACGAGCUUAUAACCUUGGCCGAAAGGUCUGGGUAAUCUCCAAAUUUCGUCGUGAUGGGGAUAGAUUAUUGCAAUUAUUAAUCUUCAACGAGGAAUGCCUAGUAAGCGCAAGUCAUCAACUUGCAUUGAUUACGUCCCUGCCCUUUGUACACACCGCCCGUCGCACCUACCGAUUGAAUGGUCCGGUGAAGCCUCCGGAUUGGCGCGCACCUCGGUGCCGCCGAGAAGUUGGCUAAACCUUACCAUUUAGAGGAAGGUGAAGUCGUAACA
This 314-nucleotide ribosomal RNA is filed under the name uncultured eukaryote. RNAcentral describes it as "partial 18S ribosomal RNA". It matches the Rfam family "Eukaryotic small subunit ribosomal RNA", at positions 1470 to 1796 of the family's 1831-position model. The record is from RNAcentral.